This 621-nucleotide unclassified non-coding RNA is filed under the name Hevea brasiliensis (rubber tree). Lineage: Eukaryota; Viridiplantae; Streptophyta; Magnoliopsida; Malpighiales; Euphorbiaceae. The record is from RNAcentral.
AAAGAAUAACUGACAUAUUUUGUCUAUAUGACUAACUUGAAUAUUUUUCCUUCAACCAUAACGAUUUCAUUUGCCUUGAGAACCCAUCUCUUGUUUGCAUAAAGCAGAAAAACUGAUUUCUUUUCCUCCAUUAACAUUCAAUCCUACGAAAAGUCCAGAACAUCUGCAUCAUCCUUAAGGAGGCCGAUGCUUCCAAAGAAAUCCACAAACUAUUAAUCUUCAUGAAAAUAAUAUCCAUGACUUCAUAAUCAGGAAGAAAGGCUUUAAGCCUUCACAAUCCAACCAUUUAAACCAUGAAGAGAAAUAAAAUUCCAUUCUAUUAACACGAAGAAAUUGGUAUGAUAUGCUGAAAUGGUUAAUACACAAAGUGUAAGAUUCUCAUAGAGUGCAUUGACUUAUGAUUAUGAAAAGCAUUCUGAUUGAGCCCAGCAUGCAGCAUAGACAUAAAAAUAUCUACAUGUCAAUGUACAUUUUAGUGGCUUUACUAGAAGGGGGAAAAAAGAAAGAAAGCUAUUCUAGAAAGUUAGAACCACUUUAGAUCCUUUGUUUCUUUAUCCAUCAUCAUUUCCCUUCCUCCCAUGGAUUCUGUAUACUUGUACCCAGUGAAAGUUUUUAUUUUUA